GGGUUGUGAGGUUAAGCGACUAAGCGUACACGGUGGAUGCCCUGGCAGUCAGAGGCGAUGAAGGACGUGCUAAUCUGCGAUAAGCGUCGGUAAGGUGAUAUGAACCGUUAUAACCGGCGAUUUCCGAAUGGGGAAACCCAGUGUGUUUCGACACACUAUCAUUAACUGAAUCCAUAGGUUAAUGAGGCGAACCGGGGGAACUGAAACAUCUAAGUACCCCGAGGAAAAGAAAUCAACCGAGAUUCCCCCAGUAGCGGCGAGCGAACGGGGAGCAGCCCAGAGCCUGAAUCAGUGUGUGUGUUAGUGGAAGCGUCUGGAAAGGCGCGCGAUACAGGGUGACAGCCCCGUACACAAAAAUGCACAUUCUGUGAGCUCGAUGAGUAGGGCGGGACACGUGGUAUCCUGUCUGAAUAUGGGGGGACCAUCCUCCAAGGCUAAAUACUCCUGACUGACCGAUAGUGAACCAGUACCGUGAGGGAAAGGCGAAAAGAACCCCGGCGAGGGGAGUGAAAAAGAACCUGAAACCGUGUACGUACAAGCAGUGGGAGCACAGAGCAAUCUGUGUGACUGCGUACCUUUUGUAUAAUGGGUCAGCGACUUAUAUUCUGUAGCAAGGUUAACCGAAUAGGGGAGCCGAAGGGAAACCGAGUCUUAACUGGGCGUUAAGUUGCAGGGUAUAGACCCGAAACCCGGUGAUCUAGCCAUGGGCAGGUUGAAGGUUGGGUAACACUAACUGGAGGACCGAACCGACUAAUGUUGAAAAAUUAGCGGAUGACUUGUGGCUGGGGGUGAAAGGCCAAUCAAACCGGGAGAUAGCUGGUUCUCCCCGAAAGCUAUUUAGGUAGCGCCUCGUGAAUUCAUCUCCGGGGGUAGAGCACUGUUUCGGCAAGGGGGUCAUCCCGACUUACCAACCCGAUGCAAACUGCGAAUACCGGAGAAUGUUAUCACGGGAGACACACGGCGGGUGCUAACGUCCGUCGUGAAGAGGGAAACAACCCAGACCGCCAGCUAAGGUCCC
RNAcentral lists this ribosomal RNA (1018 nucleotides) under Escherichia coli. Its description in RNAcentral is "partial 23S ribosomal RNA". It matches the Rfam family "Bacterial large subunit ribosomal RNA", at positions 1 to 1048 of the family's 2925-position model. Lineage: Bacteria; Pseudomonadati; Pseudomonadota; Gammaproteobacteria; Enterobacterales; Enterobacteriaceae. The record is from RNAcentral.